Molecule: ribosomal RNA, 302 nt
Filed under: Rahnella aquatilis
Lineage: Bacteria; Pseudomonadati; Pseudomonadota; Gammaproteobacteria; Enterobacterales; Yersiniaceae
Description: bacterial SSU rRNA
Rfam family: Bacterial small subunit ribosomal RNA
Source: RNAcentral
GCAGGUCGAGCGGCAGCGGAAGUAGCUUGCUACUUUGCCGGCGAGCGGCGGACGGGUGAGUAAUGUCUGGGAAACUGCCUGAUGGAGGGGGAUAACUACUGGAAACGGUAGCUAAUACCGCAUGACCUCGAAAGAGCAAAGUGGGGGAUCUUCGGACCUCACGCCAUCGGAUGUGCCCAGAUGGGAUUAGCUAGUAGGUGAGGUAAUGGCUCACCUAGGCGACGAUCCCUAGCUGGUCUGAGAGGAUGACCAGCCACACUGGAACUGAGACACGGUCCAGACUCCUACGGGAGGCAGCAGUA